UUCUCCUUCUCUCUCUUUUUCUCCUUUCUCUCUCUUUUCUUUUUGUCAAAACUCUAUUAUUAUGUGUUUAGUGACAAAGGGGGAACAUUAUUAUUUCUUAAGUUCACCCCAAUUGGUCCUCUCCAUCUAGGAGGGACCCAACACGUGGAAGUGGGGAAAACUGGACAAUGGCCAAGACAGUCAGCGCGACAGAAUAUUUAAACUACGAAGGCGGAAACUUUUCCAAGAGUGAAGGCGUUGGAGUGUUUGGUAAUGAUGUCAGAUUUACAAAUAUCCCUGUUGAAGUAUGGCGAUACUACCUGCUGGCCAGAAGGCCUGAGUAACUUUGAUUGCUGCUACAAAAUGAGAAUUUUUUUUUUUUCUUUCUUGUGUUUCAUCAUACACUGAUCGGUUCUGGUGGGGAUUGGCAAUCCAGGUGUCUGACGCAUCAUUUAAGUGGAAGGAUCUUCAAGGAAAACUGAAUAGCAAGUUGUUGGGCCUAGGCAACUUUGUAAAUCGAGUUUUGCUUCUUAUUGCAGGUUAUGGGUCUGUCAUUCCUGAUGCUCCUCGUGCUAAAUCUCAUAUUCUAACAAAAUGCGUGGGUGACAAGGUUGGAAGAUUGGUGGCUGAGUAUGUCAAAGCCAUGGAAAAGGUUCAGCUCAAGCAUGGCCUGAAUACUGCUAUGCUCGUUGUGGGUCAAGGGCACAAAUAUUGGAGACUUUACAAGGGAGAUAAAAGUCGUAGUGCAGUUUUUUCAAGAACGGCUGCUGGUUUAGUACACCUUGUUGUACGAUUGUUA
Long non-coding RNA from Brassica oleracea var. oleracea, 778 nucleotides. RefSeq lists it as uncharacterized. The transcript has 4 exons. Lineage: Eukaryota; Viridiplantae; Streptophyta; Magnoliopsida; Brassicales; Brassicaceae. The record is from RefSeq and is a predicted model, not a curated record.